This is a long non-coding RNA of Anneissia japonica, 2410 nucleotides long. RefSeq lists it as uncharacterized. NCBI's taxonomy places the organism in Eukaryota, Metazoa, Echinodermata, Crinoidea, Comatulida, Comatulidae. The transcript is spliced from 2 exons. The record is from RefSeq and is a predicted model, not a curated record.
GGGUUAUAAUAAUAAUUAUUAAUGAUACAAUAUUGACAUUAAUUUAAAAUUCUCACCAAAAAUGAUUGCUUAUUUUUCCAGAACAAUAUGAUGCAUUUGUACGAUUUACAUAUGACCAAAUCCAUCGACAAUUUGGCCAAUCCACUGCAUCAUAUGUUUCUUAGGCAGCACAUGUGUUUGAGCAACUGCAGUUUUAUAAGCUUCAUGUAAGUCACGGAAGACGACUUAAUUACCUGGGCAUUACACAUGGCUGGAGAACUGUUAGUUACUAUGAAAGAUUCUGGGGUUCGGUGAAAAAAAACCUCAUGGAUGCAAUUUAAAAAAAAAAUUAAAUUACAACUACUUCAUGUUACUGUAUAUUGCUGGUGCUAUGUAAGAUGUUAAUGAGGUGAAAGGUUACAUUAACAGGCACAAUUUAUUGACCUUUGACAUAUUCUUAGUAGUCUUAUGGUUAAUUGAUAUACAGUAUCCAUUAACAGGCACUAUUUAUUGACCUUUGACAUAUUCUUAGUAAUCUUAUGGUUAAUUGAUAUAUCCAUAUAAAGUAAGGUAACUUCCCAUAAGAAGUAAACAUCCCUUUCUUGUUAAGAAAUAUUAAAUGGUUACUCUUAAAUUUUGAAUCUGAAUAUAGCUCUGUAUAGGUAAUUACUAAUGGCCUAUAAUGUUAUUGAUAUAAUUAAUAUAUUACUCUGCAAAAGGUACUGUAUACCAUGACACUAAUACAAAAUAAUAACACUAUAGUCUGGCACAUUUAAGAAUUGUGUAAUAUUCUGUGCAUACUGUAAUUGUUAUCUGCUAUGUAUCAAAGAGACAUGAUAACUACCAAAGCUGUCCAGUGCCUAAGAGUCUGUAAAAACUCGCUCAAUAUAUUAAGUCAUUAAUUUGUAAUUAACAAACAGCCACCAGCACACGUGUGUAAACUACACAUACACUACACAUACCUAAAAUAUAAGUACAGCCAUAGUAAAUUUUCACACCCCUUUAGUGUAACAGACAAAUUAAAGAUUCUUCAAGUUUUGAAUAAUAGGGCAUGCGUCAUUGAAGCAACUUAAGCCAGCUGCUUUUGUUGCAAUUUAAUAUAAACUUACUGCCAAACUGCAAAACUAGCUAAAUGCAACAUACAUGUAUCACUUCGCCUCUAUCAACAAUUAUGCUCAGAAAGAAGAAAUAGUUGUUUCUGUGUUUCAACAUUUUAUAAUGCUUCAUUCAAAAUAGAUAUCGGCAGUCUAUAAAAGGAUAAAGUUAUUUAAAAGAAUUCUUUUUGAUAGUUUCUAAAAUUUGAGGCUUUGAUAUUAUUUAUGACCUCUUACCAUAAUUACUAUUGUAAAACAAAUAUAUGAACAAUUGAAAAUUAUUUUUAGAUGAAGAUGACGAUAUUUUAUUUGAGUGUUUUUGGCAACUGUAAGUAGUGUUGGGAAAAGAGCUUACUUGCCAUUUUAGACAAUAAUUUCUUUAUCAAAUUCAAAACUUGUAGCGCGUAUACUUGUGACUUUAAUGACAAGAUGAUAUUGUAUAUACAAUGUGUAUUAAUUUUAUUUUAAGGAAACAUUUAACUUGUACUCUGAUGUUUUCAUGUAAGAAUACUUAACAGUAGUUUUAAUGAUGGUGUUGAAAGCAAACUGAUAAAAGUGUACAAACAAGUGUCCAAUUCUAGUCACAUCUUUGUUUACUGCUGUAAUUUCUUGGGUAUAAAUAAGCCCAUCCUAGGUUUACAAGCAUGAGCAUGUUUCAUGCAAUGUGCCCUACCUGAAUUUAAACCCACCCCAAAUUCCAGAUAUUUGGAAUAGUAAUUCUACACUAUGUUUGCCUAAGAUUCAAGUUCUGAAAGUAUAAAUGUGUAAUGAAGUAUACUAUGCCUAACUGUGGGCUAUCAAGGUCUGCCUUUGCUGUCUUUGUGGGGCCUAAACCAUACAUGUGUAGACAGGAUUCUGCGAGGCCUAAGCUAGGUGUGCAGGACACAGUACCUUGCAGUUCCUGGUCUCCGACCCCUAAAAUUUUAGGUGUGGGCUUGUACACAUGAAAAUACGUUUACUAAAUACAUGGCAGGGUAGAUUUUGGACACCUUUACAUAGUUGUAUAAAUAAAAUGGCAGAAAUGGUCAGCUAACAAGUAUAAUGAUAGGAUGCCUAAUGGGUUCCUGAAGACGAGCUAUGUAGCAAUUCCUACCUACAGCUCUAAUGUAGAUUUGCAGUAGAAAUGUGAUGGUAGUGAUAUAGUUAUGGAAGACAUUAGGCAUUCAGGUAACUGUCAGUGGGACCUACAUUUUGUAUAGUUAUUUUUAGAAUUGUUUUGCCCUCUAGAUUCAAUUGCUUUCUUUGUACAUUACUAUUAUUGAGUGUUGCUCCUGUUAUAUGGUUUCAUUUUAGUUCUUUGGAGAUGUUCAAUAAAGUUACCUUAUGUUGUUUCCACA